Molecule: long non-coding RNA, 3776 nt
Filed under: Sus scrofa (pig)
Lineage: Eukaryota; Metazoa; Chordata; Mammalia; Artiodactyla; Suidae
Description: lncRNA (ENSSSCG00060033831.1)
Source: RNAcentral
CAAGUACGUAUAUACUUUAUUACAUAGUACAAAACACCAUCUUAAAUGCAAGUUGUAAAAAUUCAGUAACAGGAACUAAGAAAACAUGAAAAAUUAUUCUAAGUUUUUGCCUUGUAAACCAAGGGAGUGAAUCCACCCUCCAGGCCAGUGAUCAAAUCUGCACCUCUGCAGCAAUGCUAGUUCUCUGAGGUCACUGCCACAAGGCCCUGGAUUAAGUCAUCUAUAGUCUGUAAUGCUGGUUUAUCUGGGCAGCAACAAUAAAGAUAUUGACUGAUUAGAGCAUCUUACUAGAGACUGGUAAGGAAACUGGGGCAGCAAAGAUCCAAGUUCCUAAAUAAACUCUUGUUGACUCAAUAUUCUUAUGAGGAGGAACAUGAUUUAACUAGCUCCUUAACUAAAAUGCUAAUGUUAACACAAAAACAUCUGAAAUACUUUUCCUUGCAUUAUUUUCUUUAAACGUUUAAAGUGAAACCAUUUUCAUCUAUUCUGUAUAACAAUACAUAACACUGAUCUCUUAUGAUGCAGCAGGUUAAGGAUCCGGAGUUGUCCUUGUAGUGGCUUGGUUUUGAUCCUGGCCCAGGAACUUCCACCUGCCAUGGCAGUAAGAAAAAAAACAAAGAGUAACAUUGAGCUCUAGCUCCCUGUUGACAGUGUAACUCCCAGCCUGCAGGUAACCUACUUGUUACUCAAAUGAGCUCAGCUUGAAAUAAGAGAAAUGCUCCCAUGUUUAGCUGCUCAUUCGGAGCUAACGAUUUGCUAGGAUCCUCCCAAUAAACUAGCCCCAUGCUCUCUACUUUGUCACACUCGACUCUAAAGGUUUCACUCUGCUUAAAUCAUUGUACCUAUAGAGCUGAUGAAAAAUGAGGAAGCUCAGCUCAUUUUUGUUCCUCCAAGACCAAUGAAAAAAAUUGUAGGACUGCCCUGAAUAUCCACCCAAGUGGUGGUUCCAGUGAAACUCUGUUUUGGUUUGGCCUCUCUCUACAGGAUCAUCAACCACAACAGCUAGGAUUUUUUUCCCUCCGGAGCAAGCUUUCUUUCAGAAUGAGUCUUGACUGUCUAAAUUUAGCUUUUCAGCUAUUUUUUUACAGUUAAAUUGGCUAUCUGAGCAAACCAAAUUCCUGACCCCCUCCACAUUGUCAUAUGUCCUGUGGGUGACUAGAAAGCCACUUCUUGCAUCAUUGUGGGGGUCAGCUCUGCCUUCUUUAAACUUUUUUUUUUUUUUUUUUUUUUUUUUUUUGCUUCUUAGGGCCACACUCCAGGCACAUGGAAGUCCCCAGGAUCCCUAGGCUAGAGGUCAAAUCAGAGCUGGAGCUGCAGCUGCCAGCCUAUGCUUCAGCAUCUAGGGAUCUGAGCCCUGUCUUGAGACUUACACACCACAGCUUACAGCAAACGCCGGAUCCUUAACCCACUAAGCGAGGUUUUCCAGUGAUUGGUUGUGAUCUUAGAUUGUAUCUGUUGAGCUCUUUGCUUUUCGUUUUUAUGGUAGAGAAACAUGCAUUACAUAAAUCUUUUAGCCAUUAUGAGUGUACAAUUCAGUGGUGUUAAUUACACGCACAAAGUUGUGCAACUAUUAUUUCCAGAAUAUUUCCAUCAUCUCAAACAAAUUCUGUACCUAUUAUAUAGUACCUCCCCAUUCUCUCCUCUCCCUAGCCCCUGGUAAUCCCUAAGAGUCUCUGAAUUUAACUACACUACCUCCUAAGAGUGGAAUCAUGUCGUUGUACCUGGCUUAUUUCACUUACGUUUUCAAGGCUCACCCAUGUUGUAGCAGUCAUUAUUCAUUCCUUUUUAAGGCUGAAUAAUCCAGUGUGUGUGUGUGUGUGUGUGUGUGUGUGUGUGUGUGUGUGUGUAUAAAUGCAAUGUUAUGCAUAUAUAUAUAUAAAAAACAUACAUAUACAAAAUGUGGCAUAUAUAUAUAUGUCAUCUCUAGAUGGACAUUUGGGUUGUCACCUUUUGGCUGUUGGGAAUAUUGUUGCUAUGAACAUGGGUGUACAAGUAUCUGUUUGAGUCCCUGCUUUCAAUUCUUUUGGGUAUCUAUACCCAAGAAGCAAAAUUGCUGGAUCAUCUGGUAACUCUGUAAUUUUUGGAGGAGCAGUCAGACUGUUCUCCACAGCAAUGAUACCAUUUUACAUUCCCACCAGGGAUGCACCAGGUUCCAAUUUCUCCACACCCUGCCAACACUUUUUAUUUUCUAACAUCUUUCACAAUGGCCUGUGAUGAUUCAGUCCCCUACAAGGUAUUUUCUUCCCAAAUCUCCUCUGCCUCCCCUCUCCUCCCCCUCUUCUUGAUGUGCUUUUGCUUCAGUGAAAAUAGACUCAGGCUCAAGACUUUUCCUUUGUAUCAAAUACUUAAGGUAACUUUGUGGUUUGCCAAGUGCAAGAAUUCAGUGCAUACUUACAUGUUCCUUUACUGGAGGAAUCUGCAUUACCUUUUUAGGCGGCGAAUAGGGCUGCUUUCUGCAUUAAGAAACGAACUUCACAAUGUAGAUGUGACCCUGAUCUCAGAGAGACAUCAGUGAACCAAGGCUUGAAGCGAGCUCUUAAGUCUCUGCUCAGGAAUUGAACCUGGGCAGCCUGGGUGAAAACCAGGAAUCUUAGCCACUAGAUCAGCUAGCUAGAGGCUAGAAGCAGAAUUGCCUGGAUUCUUGCCCCCCUGUUGAAAGCAAGAAUGUAAAAGCAGAUACAAAGUUUAUUUUUAGAAACUCAAUACAACACGUGGGAGAGCGCACAGAGAAGUAGUCUAUUUAUCUAAGGCCAAAGUAAAGCAGUCAUACACACCGAAAGGUGUGUGGUGCGGGCAUCCCCCGGAAUAAGGAGCGUGCCAGAGGGGUGAUUUAAAUCACAUAUAUGGGACAGUUCUUCCAAGUCUUUGUUUUUCUUUGGCCAAUUAUCUUGUUUUAUUUUUCACACCUGACAAGACCCAGGGCCCUACCUGAUCUGCGGGUGGAUCUUUUGGCCAAGAUGGGUAUCAGAACAAGGGCUUAUGGGAAGGUUAGCUAGACUUACUACGGCCUGGUGCUGCACAUCCCCCCCGCCCCCUUCUAACCCAGAGGGGUCUUUCUGCUUAUGUACAGUUUGGGUCUUCCUGAACCCAGAAUGGUAAGUAUGUGUCAUCACCACUGUUUAACAAGUUCACAUAAGAUAAGUGAACUAAUUAUUUGCUUUUUGCUUGUUGCUAUUUCUAUCAUGGAAGUAUAAGUAGGUGGCUGGAUGUAAAUGUUUAUCUGAGAGCUCACCUAUGUCCCGCCUCAGGAAGUAUAAAUAGGAGGCUGGUUGUUAAGGUCUGUCCCAGAGCCCAUCUAUCUCCUGCCUCAAUCCUGCCCUCCCUUAAACUAUCUGUACAUCAGCUUAAUAAGGGCGAGCUCGAAACAGGCUGGGAUAAGAACCCACCAUUUAAGCAAGGCUUGCCCACAAUUUCUAAUUCAAAUGUCCCAAGGUUUCAAACCGUUCAACACAGAUGGAGGAGCGUCAGGGCCUACCAGGUGGCGCUUUACUACCUUGGGUUCCUUCUGCCAAGCGGCAGCAGAGCCACACUCCCGGUGAACCUCCGCUCCACGAGGAGAAAACUGGGAACGCCAGGUAAAGCCCGAAUUCUGUCAGCUGAGACCCCACUGCCCCAGCCGCGCCUCACCUGGGCCUCCGCGUUCAGACAGGCAGCUCCCAGCCUGCGGCGUCAAACGCCCUGGCCACGCUCGCUGCCCCUCGACGAUCCUCCACUCACCGUUCCGCAGGGGAUGGAAACCACAAGCUGCUAGAGAGGCGCAAACAGCCUGGGGCAGC